This 223-nucleotide ribosomal RNA is filed under the name uncultured bacterium. RNAcentral's name for it is "partial 16S ribosomal RNA". It matches the Rfam family "Bacterial small subunit ribosomal RNA", at positions 96 to 334 of the family's 1533-position model. The record is from RNAcentral.
CGGCGGACGGGUGCGUAACGCGUAGGAACAUGUCCGAAGGUGGGGGACAACCCUGGGAAACUGGGGCUAAUACCGCAUAUGACCUGAGGGUCAAAGCAGCGAUGCGCCUUUGGAGUGGCCUGCGUCCGAUUAGCUUGUUGGUGGGGUAAAGGCCUACCAAGGCGACGAUCGGUAGCUGGUCUGAGAGGACGAUCAGCCACACUGGGACUGAGACACGGCCCAG